Molecule: transfer RNA, 73 nt
Filed under: Candidatus Aenigmatarchaeota archaeon
Lineage: Archaea; Nanobdellati; Candidatus Aenigmatarchaeota
Description: tRNA-Glu
Rfam family: tRNA
About the family: Transfer RNA (tRNA) molecules are approximately 80 nucleotides in length. Their secondary structure includes four short double-helical elements and three loops (D, anti-codon, and T loops). Further hydrogen bonds mediate the characteristic L-shaped molecular structure. tRNAs have two regions of fundamental functional importance: the anti-codon, which is responsible for specific mRNA codon recognition, and the 3' end, to which the tRNAs corresponding amino acid is attached (by aminoacyl-tRNA synthetases). tRNAs cope with the degeneracy of the genetic code in two manners: having more than one tRNA (with a specific anti-codon) for a particular amino acid; and 'wobble' base-pairing, i.e. permitting non-standard base-pairing at the 3rd anti-codon position.
Source: RNAcentral
GCUCCCGUCGUCUAGCCCGGCCGGAUAGAAGCCUUUCGAGCUUCGGACACGGGUUCAAAUCCCGUCGGGAGCA